RNAcentral lists this non-coding RNA (24 nucleotides) under Arabidopsis thaliana (thale cress). The record is from RNAcentral. Lineage: Eukaryota; Viridiplantae; Streptophyta; Magnoliopsida; Brassicales; Brassicaceae.
ACAGGGGUUGUACCCCGCCUCCGA